RNAcentral lists this ribosomal RNA (339 nucleotides) under Haemaphysalis longicornis (longhorned tick). Its description in RNAcentral is "partial 12S ribosomal RNA". Lineage: Eukaryota; Metazoa; Arthropoda; Arachnida; Ixodida; Ixodidae. The record is from RNAcentral.
AUUAUUAAGAAAAAUUAUAUUGUUAGUAUAUAAAUUGUAUGAAAACAAAAAAUUAUGGCGGUAUUUUAAGCUUUUCAGAGGAAUUUGCUCUUUAAUGGAUAAAACACCUAAAUCUUACUAAAUUUAGUUAAGCAGUUUGUAUACCACUAUUUAAGUAAUAAUUUGCUAUUAUUACUAAAAUUUAUAUUAAUUAAAAAAAGUUAAGUCAAGGUGCAGCAUAAAUUUUAGUAUGAAGUGAAUUACAUUUCUUUUAAGAAAAAUUUGUUGAAAAUAAAAUUUAGGAUUUGAAAGUAAAAUUUUAAUAGAAGGAAAAUUUGAAUUAAGCUCUAAAAUAUGUAC